This 301-nucleotide ribosomal RNA is filed under the name uncultured bacterium. RNAcentral describes it as "partial 16S ribosomal RNA". It matches the Rfam family "Bacterial small subunit ribosomal RNA", at positions 509 to 807 of the family's 1533-position model. The record is from RNAcentral.
CAGCCGCCGCGGGAACACGAAGGGUGCAAGCGUUACUCGGAAUUACUGGGCGUAAAGCGUGCGUAGGUGGUGGUUUAAGUCUGUUGUGAAAGCCCUGGGCUCAACCUGGGAAUUGCAGUGGAUACUGGGUCACUAGAGUGUGGUAGAGGAUAGUGGAAUUUCCGGUGUAGCAGUGAAAUGCGUAGAGAUCGGAAGGAACAUCUGUGGCGAAUGCGACUAUCUGGGCCAACACUGACGCUGAGGCACGAAAGCGUGGGGAGCAAACAGGAUUAGAUACCCGUGUAGUCCCUGUCUCUUAUAC